Molecule: non-coding RNA, 125 nt
Organism: Gossypium raimondii (Peruvian cotton)
Lineage: Eukaryota; Viridiplantae; Streptophyta; Magnoliopsida; Malvales; Malvaceae
Source: Rfam
AAUAAGAGAAUGACAAAUCAGAUUGUUUUCCUGAUUUGCAGCUUUUUUUCUCCUGCAAAAAUUCAAAUUCAACAAAAAAAUGCUACAAAUCGGGGGAAAAAAAUCUGAUUUAUCAUUCUCCUAUU